UAUGUUAUCAUCAGGUAUGAUGUUUAAUAACUGUGUUAUCAUCAGGUAUGAUGUUUAAUAACUGUGUCAUCGUCAGGUAUGAUGUUUAAUAACUGUGUUAUUGUCAGGUAUGAUGUUUAAUAACUGUGUUAUUGUCAGGUAUGAUGUUUAAUAACUGUGUUAUCGUCAGGUAUGAUGUUUAAUAACUGUGUUAUCAUCAGGUAUGAUGUUUAAUAACUGUGUUAUCAUCAGGUAUGACGUUUAAUAACUGUCAUCGUCAGGUAUGAUGUUUAAUAACUGUGUUAUCAGGUAUGACGUUUAAUAACUGUUUUAUUGUCAGGUAUGAUGUUUAAAAACUGUGUCAUCGUCAGGUAUGAUGUUUAAUAACUGUC
This is a long non-coding RNA of Myxocyprinus asiaticus (Chinese sucker), 371 nucleotides long. RefSeq lists it as uncharacterized. The record is from RefSeq and is a predicted model, not a curated record. NCBI's taxonomy places the organism in Eukaryota, Metazoa, Chordata, Actinopteri, Cypriniformes, Catostomidae. The transcript is spliced from 4 exons.